Molecule: transfer RNA, 64 nt
Filed under: Pseudoneureclipsis achim
Lineage: Eukaryota; Metazoa; Arthropoda; Insecta; Trichoptera; Polycentropodidae
Also listed under: 1 other name
Description: tRNA-Gly
Source: RNAcentral
AUUUAUAUAAUAUAAAAAGUAUAAUUGACUUCCAAUCAUUAAGUUUAUUAAUUUAAUAUAAAUA